AGAACGAACGUUGGCGGCAUGGAUUAGGCAUGCAAGUUGUGCGUACCCAGCAAUGGGAAGCAGCGUAAGGGGCAGUAAGGCAUGGGUACCUACCUUGAGGCCGAGCAUAGCCCGUAGAGAUACGGGGUAAUUCUCGAUAAUGUCGUGAGACCAAAGGUCCGCCGCCUUGAGAGGGGCCCAUGUGAUAUUAGCUAGUUGGUAAGGUAACGGCUUACCAAGGCGAAGAUGUCUAGCGGGUGUGAGAGCACGACCCGCGCCACUGGCACUGAGACACUGGCCAGACACCUACGGGUGGCUGCAGUCGAGGAUCUUCGGCAAUGGGCGCAAGCCUGACCGAGCGAUGCCGCGUGUGCGACGAAGGCCUUCGGGUUGUAAAGCACUGUCGAGAGGGAGAAAUGCCGAAAGGCUUGAUCUAUCUCUGGAGGAAGGGCGGGCUAAGUUCGUGCCAGCAGCCGCGGUAAGACGAACCGCCCGAACGUUGUUCGGAAUCACUGGGCUUAAAGGGAGCGUAGGCGGGCUUCCAAGUCCGGGGUGAAAUCCUCCAGCUUAACUGGAGAACUGCCUCGGAUACUGGAGGUCUCGAGGAGGGUAGGGGCAAGUGGAACCGUGGGUGGAGCGGUGAAAUGCGUUGAUAUCCAUGGGAACUCCGGUGGCGAAGGCGACUUGCUGGACCCUUUCUGACGCUGAGGCUCGAAAGCCAGGGGAGCAAACGGGAUUAGAUACCCCGGUAGUCCUGGCCCUAAACGUUGAGAACUAGGUUGUCGGCUUACAUGGGCUGACAGCCGAAGCAAAAGUGCUAAGUUCUCCGCCUGGGGAGUAUGGUCGCAAGCUG
Molecule: ribosomal RNA, 832 nt
Filed under: uncultured bacterium
Lineage: Bacteria
Description: bacterial SSU rRNA
Rfam family: Bacterial small subunit ribosomal RNA
Source: RNAcentral